This 497-nucleotide ribosomal RNA is filed under the name uncultured bacterium. RNAcentral describes it as "partial 16S ribosomal RNA". It matches the Rfam family "Bacterial small subunit ribosomal RNA", at positions 28 to 507 of the family's 1533-position model. The record is from RNAcentral.
GACGAACGCUGGCGGCGUGCCUAAUACAUGCAAGUUGAGCGCUGAAGGUUGGUACUUGUACCAACUGGAUGAGCAGCGAACGGGUGAGUAACGCGUGGGGAAUCUGCCUUUGAGCGGGGGACAACAUUUGGAAACGAAUGCUAAUACCGCAUAAAAACUUUAAACACAAGUUUUAAGUUUGAAAGAUGCAAUUGCAUCACUCAAAGAUGAUCCCGCGUUGUAUUAGCUAGUUGGUGAGGUAAAGGCUCACCAAGGCGAUGAUACAUAGCCGACCUGAGAGGGUGAUCGGCCACAUUGGGACUGAGACACGGCCCAAACUCCUACGGGAGGCAGCAGUAGGGAAUCUUCGACAAUGGACGAAAGUCUGACCGAGCAACGCCGCGUGAGUGAAGAAGGUUUUCGGAUCGUAAAACUCUGUUGGUAGAGAAGAACGUUGGUGAGAGUGGAAAGCUCAUCAAGUGACGGUAACUACCCAGAAAGGGACGGCUAACUACGUG